GCUCUACCCUCCCUGCGAUAUAUGAAAGGACGGUGAAGUGAUGCUGCUCGCCAUCGUCCUCUCUCCUUCCUUGACUCGGUCCUUUUUUCUUCCUCGCUUUAGGGUUUGAUGUCAGAUUUGCGUUUCGAUGCCUCCCUCCUCCCAGCUUUGGAUCCUCUUCAGUGGAUUUGAGCUUGCGAUAAUGGAUGCCUCGCUUUCUGCUGCUGCCAGAUGUGCUUGUUUGACAACGAGAGAGAGCACGCCGGUCCACGAUCAUACCUGCGGCCAUGGCUGUGUGUACCAGCGUGCUUUUUCUCGUUGUCAACUGGCUGGUGCCUUUCGUCGGGAUCGACCACCUUCUUGACCCUGGCUGACGGGAUUGAAGUGCCUGAUCAACAUUUUAAGUAGUAAGCAAAAAAUUUAGACCUCUAGUAAACUUGUCAGUUGUCACGGAUCUCUGGAUUUGUAUUUUCCUCAGCUUAGAAUCUAUAAUUUUAUGUUUUUAUCAUUUCUCUUUUCUCGCAUAUGCGUUGAGCCUUCUUUUUCUGGUAUCUAUUGUAAGUUAAUUCUACAUGUAUGACACUGAACUACUAAGGUGGACAUGUUCUUGUAUCAUUCUUGUGUUUGACUUGACACAACUUCUAGCUGUGAUCUGCU
Molecule: long non-coding RNA, 636 nt
Organism: Zingiber officinale
Lineage: Eukaryota; Viridiplantae; Streptophyta; Magnoliopsida; Zingiberales; Zingiberaceae
Exons: 3
Source: RefSeq, a predicted model, not a curated record